RNAcentral lists this long non-coding RNA (1971 nucleotides) under Triticum aestivum (bread wheat). RNAcentral's name for it is "long non-coding RNA (TAES_LNC021196)". Lineage: Eukaryota; Viridiplantae; Streptophyta; Magnoliopsida; Poales; Poaceae. The record is from RNAcentral.
GUAAAAUCAACUUCCCUCUGAAGUCUGCUGCUGGUCAUGCUCUUUUAUAUGGUGGUCUGAUCUGGUCACACUCUUUCGACAGUCGAUGCAUAUUUUCUUUUGGGUAAUUUGCUUCACCUAAGCUUCAGUAGCACUGUGCAUGGCCCUUUGAGUUCAUAUCUUCUAUUGGCGUCUGAAAACUAUCAUUUUUGGUCAGCUGAUAUCACUCUAUUCAUGCUAUCAAUUUUUCUUUCUCACUAUAUGGUAGUCCUUGACCUGUUUGUGUCAUCGGAGAAGGGAAUUUUCCUUUUUUUUCACUUUUAUCUUGUUUCCUUUUAAUAUAUUGGUUUUAGUUGUAUAUUACAGAAGGAUUGGACAUGGAGAUCUAAGAUGGAAGCGUUUGUGUAUAUACUGUACCUUUGUAUAUCUUUCCAAGUUCCAUCUUGCCUUAUCAUACAUUUUAAAAGAACAGUUGUUUUCUGAGUCAUUGGUGUACUUAUGUUGUGUUGUCACCAACCAUGAGUAUAUAACAGUUUGUUGGACAAAAGUAUUCUUGUGGUUUGUGCCAUGGUUGGGCACCAUCUUAAAUAUAAAAUGAUAACAUUGCAAACAUUUUUAUUUUGAAGGGCCAACAAGAAAGGAUUUCUUCCGGCAGCAUAACAAAGAACCCAUUGGGUGGAUGCAACACCCGAAUGCCUUUUUGACUAAAUCAUUUUAAUUAACUAAUUACAGUGGCGGAGCUAGAUGGGGAGGCAAAGGGCAAAUACAUCAAUUCUUGAGCAGUCCAAAAACUAUAAUUUGUUGAAUUAAGCACCCCCAAGAGUUCUUUAUUCACACAUUUUUUCAAGGUUGGGGGUUUAAUGUAAGUUUUCUGCUAUUAAAACUGCAACUUUCCAUCUUGAUUGUGUCCAUGAUUAAGUUUUGGGUGUGGGCAGGGCAGAAGAUCAAGCACUCCGUCCUCUGCCAGGUCGCCGCCGCUGCUCGGGACGUAGACGCGCACAUGGGUCCGUCAGUCGCUGGCAAAGGAGGUCGAGUCCGUGCGGAGCACUGGUCUCCUCGCUGUCGUCGUCGUCCUCCCUGCUGCCAGCGACGCCCUCCUGUCUCCUCUGCACCAGUCUACUCCUUCAUGUCUGUCCCCCUCUCAAUCUCCUCUUUCUGUUGUUUGUUUUCUCUAUCUCACAUAGGAAAGCUCUUGAUCCACCAAAACGCUGAAUCAUGUUCAUAUUUGCUACCCUAGGAAAGAAGGAUAUAAAACUGAACUACAAACAUCAGUAGUAGAGCAUACAUCAUAAAGGGUUGUGGAUGUCCCAUUGCUGCACAAACUGAACCAAGGAUGUUUAGCAACUAAUUUCUUUUUUUGUGGGAUCAACAGGAGGAUGGGAUUCAUAAUUGAGAACAUUAUGUGUUCAUAAUAUAUAUUUUGUGGUAGCAACUGAACCAAGGAUGCUCAUGGCAAGUUUAAUCGCAAUAUAAAUCACUUGGUUUGGAAACACACCUGCUAAAAAAAUAGAUUGAUCUUUUCUUAAAAUCUUCAACCUACUAUGUAAACCAGUUCUCCUUUGUAUCAAUCUGAGAUCCAUCUGGAUUAUAUCUGAUUUUAGUGAUAUAUAAAUCAAAAUUGAUUUAUUCACUCUUUGGUAAGCACUUAUCUUUAGAUGACACAUUUGAUAGUUCUGGUGUUCUGUUUUAUGUGGUUUGAUUUUAUCAACCGAAUUUGGUCUUUCUUUUGCAGAUUAUUUACAAAAGAAAAUGGUUUGGGGUGAAGAGUUGAAGGCUUGAAGCCAAAUGUUCCUAAUCAAGAAGAUGACCCGCACAACUCCCCUGAAACAAGGCCAGCACUAUGUGCCAAGAUUGAAGAUCCCAAAUAUGUUUACUUUGGUCCAAUAUCGUAUAGCAGUGUAAUGCUUCAGGCACUUUUUAUCAUUCAUUUUUAUUAUUCAAAUCUCUAUAUGGUUGCCAUAGAUGCUACUAUUACAUGGAUUUAUUACUAUU